CAAUAGCGUAUAUUAAAGUUGUUGCGGUUAAAAAGCUCGUAGUUGGAUUUCUGCCGAGGACGACCGGUCCGCCCUCUGGGUGUGUAUCUGGUUUGGCCUGGGCAUCUUCUUGGAGAACGUAGCUGCACUUGACUGUGUGGUGCGGUGUCCAGGACUUUUACUUUGAGGAAAUUAGAGUGUUUCAAGCAGGCACACGCCUUGAAUACAUUAGCAUGGAAUAAUAAGAUAGGACCUCGGUUCUAUUUUGUUGGUUUCUAGGGCCGAAGUAAUGAUUAAGAGGGACAGUUGGGGGCAUUCGUAUUUAAUUGUCAGAGGUGAAAUUCUCGGAUUUAUGAAAGACGAACAACUGCGAAAGCAUUUGCCAAGGAUGUUUUCAUUAA
Molecule: ribosomal RNA, 380 nt
Filed under: uncultured eukaryote
Lineage: Eukaryota
Description: partial 18S ribosomal RNA
Rfam family: Eukaryotic small subunit ribosomal RNA
Source: RNAcentral